Long non-coding RNA from Mustela lutreola (European mink), 453 nucleotides. RefSeq lists it as uncharacterized. The record is from RefSeq and is a predicted model, not a curated record. Lineage: Eukaryota; Metazoa; Chordata; Mammalia; Carnivora; Mustelidae. The transcript has 3 exons.
UCAAUGCUUGGAGCAAAAUAAAGCUUUGCUUGAGCUUCCUUUUGUAUCAGUCUCGCUCCUUUAAUCACGGACCCAUUAUUGGGGGACCCAACAUUGGGGACUGAACAUUGGGCUCUCGCCAGGGAUUUAACAACAAGGACUGAGCCAGUAUCAGAAUUUCUGGGAAAGGCCUCCAGAGGUGACACUUUGAUCUGUUCUUCACUGUCGGGAAACAAAAAGAGCACCCCCCUGGACCUAACACCCCCACUUUCCAGAUCUUCCCACCAAGGUCUCAGGACACCAUUGGAAACUCUAGUAAUUUUACCAAGGCUUUGACUGGAAUGUCAUAUUUGAAAAGACUCAGAUAUGACCAGACAGCUUAAAGGAACUAAGAUUGGCUUUAUAAAACCUGGAGCCAUAAAGCCCUUUGGAACUGUUGGCCUGACACCUUGCUUACAGGGUUCCCAGCAGCCU